UCUCGUCUUGUCCCCUCUCCGUUCACUCGACGCGCGAUGAAGAGAAGCAGUGGGUGAGACUCCCAGCCUCCCUGCAGAGCAGUAAGACAUCUGCGGGCAUCUCCACACGGAUACAAACACCAUCAGACGUGAUGGACUCUGAUGAACCAGAUGUGAAGAAGAAGAAGAGGAGCGGAGCCUCUGAAGGGGGCGUGUCUACAUGUGACUCUGACAGCGUCCAGCAGGGGGCAUCAGACACACAGUCCAAGAGGACGGACGAGACAGAGAGGGACUCUGCUGCAGAACACAGGUGAGAUCAUGGAUGACAUUCUGUCAGGCAGUCACCAAAAUCCUCUUCAAACCACCUUUGAUUCUGUUUAUGUCAGUAACGUUCUAGAACCCUCUUUACGCUGUUAUAUGUAUUUUCCCUAGUGGCUCUUCUGAACUGAGCAUUGAUUGUUGCUUUAGUACUAGUUAUGAUGUGAUUUAUUUUGUUCCUGUGAAGGAACCCUACUGUGUUGUAACAAUGAGUAUAUGAGCUCUUCUGAACUGAGCAUUGAUUGUUCCUGUAGAAUUAGUUAUGAUGUGA
Clupea harengus (Atlantic herring) is the source of this 568-nucleotide long non-coding RNA. RefSeq lists it as uncharacterized. NCBI's taxonomy places the organism in Eukaryota, Metazoa, Chordata, Actinopteri, Clupeiformes, Clupeidae. The transcript has 3 exons. The record is from RefSeq and is a predicted model, not a curated record.